AAAAAAAAAGAUAUACUUUCAAGCCAUACAUUGGGCAGCUUCUCCAGGUCAUCCACCCCUCUCAUCGUGAUUUCUGUUCACCAAAAGGUUAUCCCCAUUGCAGAAAUUACAUCACAAACUUCUAUGAGUUUCACAGAUAUAUACACUUGCUCAACUUAUUCAUGGAAUAGAGUAAUAUAGACGUAAUUUUCAUUUUCCUCUGCAAUUGGAGUUCCCUACAUUGUGGUAAAAAUGCUAAUAUCAAAUUAUAUAGAAAAGUUUUGUGUACUGAAAUAUUUGGGUUGCAAAAAGAAAAAGCGUACGAAAGAUAGAAGGCAGUUUGAAUGCACAAAGUGCAAAUGAUAGACAGCUUUAGUGCCUUAGCAUUGUGAUAUGCCAUACACAUGAAUUCUAUUUCGACAAAAUCAAGCAUAUACGUGCAAUAUUUUUAAGUAUUAACUCACUAUGGUUCCAGUUGUACCUUCCGAGUUGAUCUUAUUGUUGCCAGUAGCUCGAAAAAAACAUGUAUUUCUGGUGAUCUAGCUGAAAAAUUUCUCUCCUUGACAGUAGAAGACAUAUUUGGCACAACCUAUGUCAAGGUUUCCUUUAUUUAUACGUAUCAACAUACUUUAUACAUGUUUGUUUCGCUAUUUCUGCCACAGUUGUGCAGCCAGUUGAAUCAUUCCUACCAUGUAAACGCCUAUAAAUAUUUAUACUAACUUUUUCUCAUAAGAUAUUUAAAUCAUACAAUUUUUUCUUUUUGUUUUCAGCACCAGCUACUAUGCGUUAAUGAUAUUUAAAUCAUCAAAUUUUUUCUUUUUGUUUUCAGCACCAGCUACUAUGCGUUAAUCAUGUACAACAGAUAUAGUCGAAUAGACUAUUCUGCAUUUUGCUGAGGAAGUCAUCCAGAUAAACUCUAACAGUUCUAUCCUACAUAGAAAAGGAACAUGUUUUCCCGUCAAGCAUUAACUAGAGAAACGCUAAAAAGGUGAAGCCGCUCAUCACAAGCAAGGUGGAGAUAGUGCCAUCAGUUAUUGAAUCUGAAUCUUCACACCAACAAAAAAGUUUAUAAAAGGUUAAGUCAAUUAAUCAUCCUUUAAUUUGUUCCAAUGCAAAGGGUAGUCCAUCAGAUUUAUGUAUCGUACAUGCAAACAUGCAUCUACACUUGAAAGACAAGCACUACAAUUUAGUUACGUUUGGUCGGAAUAAGUUUGUUUCCUCAUUUUUUCAAAUUUUAUAUGUUAUUGAUUUUUCCAAUCUAUCUCAAAUGAUGUCCUCUUAUUUCACACGCUAAUUAGUCGAGAAUGUAGAUUAAUUAAUAACUCCCUCAUUCCCUUUUGUUUGUUGGUACAUUGGUAAGCAACAUCCCAUUCUAUGUCAUAUUAGUUUCCUAUAUGUUUCUCCAGUAAAUUCAAUGGAAAAAUCACUCUUACGAUUUUCAUUUUCUAUCAUUUCGGUGAAAAUAUGAUUAUUUUUUUAUCACAACAACUAUUCUUCUGACUAACCUUAAUUCUACAAAAUCAAAUCAAGAAAUUAUAGGUUUUCCCCAUUUUGAUUCGAUUUUCGAUUUACUGACUAUGAAUUUCUUAUUUGUGUAGAGACUGUAACACUAAAUUCCUUAUAGGGUGAGUUCACAAUUUUUCGAUCUACAUGAGUUACAUUCUGCUACCACAACAACUAUUCUUCUGUUUUUCUCUUCAACACCCAUCCUUUUAUCUAACUCUGUUGAAGCUUAAUGGAGAUAAAAACAAACAACAAACUACCUUAAGUUGAUGACAUGAUGGUUAACCUUAAAAUGCACAUGUCUCCUUUUCUGAAAAUUGGCAUGGACAAACACGAAUCAGUAGGCAAGUUGCUAAAUUAGUUUUUAGCAUUGAUGUUAUCAUAAACAAAGUCGCGUGAGAUCAUAUGAAUGAAUUGUUGGUGUUCUGUUGUAAUAGGAAAUUCUACUUUAAAGUUUACAGACUAGCUUUCUGUUACAUAUGAAUAACAAGGCUCAAUCGGACAUAGAAGACGGUCUCCAUGUUCUAAGGUAUGAAACUUACAUUUAAUAUGUCUCUCAUAUUUCUCGAUUUUGGUGUCUCUGCAUUAUGAGAUAAUAUAAUGUAUCACAUGAAAAUUGACGAGGGUCAUAGAUGUCUAGCAUGUAUUAUUUGCAUCAGAUGUUUUAUGUUGAGCUUUAGUGGUGGAGUAGCAGUUCUAUUCUGAAUUUAUUGCCUUUAAGCCUUCAUGUUCUGGAAAUCUGUAGAUCAGGUGAACCUCAAUAGGGAUCCUCUCUUUUCCCGUGACACAUUUCUUUUUUUGAGGCAGUCUCUUUUUUUCAAUCUGACCUUUAUAUCUACUGAUUGUUGAAUAAAAAAAAACAGAAAAAUAUCUAUUGAUUGUGUUCGCCAUGUCCAGUAGUUUAACAUUUUUAGAGCUUCGCUUUUAUGCACUCUAAGCUAACCAAAUAUUAUGUGUUAAUUACUGCCACCGUCUUAUUGAUUUAGUGGGACCAUUCUUCGUUUUGCUUAUGUGAUUAUCCUAAUUUCUCACAUUUGUUUACUUUUUCACCAUAUUUUUGUUGCUACUUUUAUUUUGGUCUCAUGUUUUUCAUAUGCAUUAGUUAGGAUCUGGUGAUUUUUACUGAUGAUAUUCUAGCUUUCUUGGGAUGAGGUUCAUUAUUUUGACUGUAGUUGAUCAAUAUUUUCUGUUAGUAGAAUUCAAAUAUAUUACUAAGUUGAGUUGUAAAUUGGCGUUAUGGAACUACUGAAUAUAUUCCUGCGGAAAUAUGCUUGCUCUUCAAUAUAUAUUUUAGGAAUAUACUAAGAUAUAUGAGAUACAAAUUUAUUACAAAUACCUAAAACUCUACGCAAGAACACUAGCCAAAUAUCAAUAUUCAUGCUUUCAGUAAUAGAAAUCGCUAUAUCUAGACAACAAGACACACUUCUCUGUUACAACUACAGUUGUUUGGCUCUGCAAUUAGUUUCAACAAACCUGCACAUUAACUUAAGAUGCUAUCUUCUAAUCGCUUAAAUAUCUCUCAAAUUAGUAGCUCUUGCCACUUGAUUCCCCCAAAAAAAAACCAUUGUUGAUGCACCACUUCGACAAUGUGAUGGGAGUGCAGCAAACGAAAUCAUUAUCAAAGCUGGAUAGUCUAUAGGCUAGGCAAGUUCUUAAGUAAUUGAGUCUAUUCUCUAAAUUCGGGUCCCUUUGGAGGAUGUGGAGUAGGCCGGGAAAGAUGUAACAACAUUAUAUACGGAAGAGACCUAUAGGUAGAAAACAAUAUAUUCGACAAGUCUUAGUUUCUUUAAUCAUCUCACCAAUACAUUUGCCUUAUCAUGUGACCAAGGAAAAUAUAGCAAAUAUUUCCUUGUAAGAUAAUACUGCCAUAACAUGAUUACACAUAAUAAGAGUCUCACUAUAAUAGCAUCAUGCAACUAUAUACUUUUUAGAUUUUGUAUUAUGGUUAUGAUUAUUUACAUUUAUCUUAUGUUUUACAUAUCUAACCCCAUCAGGUGUUUGAAUAAGUCCAUCUGUUAAAAGGUUAAAAUUUCUUUUGCAUUGUUGAAACUUUAGCAGAAUUUUUUUAAUUUUAUAUUACUUUUAAGUUCUUCCACAUUGGUUCCCUUAAGUUAAAUUUAGUUAUUUUUACAAUUAAAAAAUUCAUAUUGUGCUUGCUAUCACUAAAUAGAUUGAGCGUCCGACAAACAAAAAAGAAGAAAUGAAGAAGAAUAUGGAAAACUGAUCUUGGCUAAAGGUUACUAACAGGACAAGCUUUACAAAGAGUUUAAUGGUAAGUUGUUUCUAGCAUGCACAAGGAAUCGUCUAUAUGGUUUUAUUUUUUACUCUCUAUAAAUAUGAAGGUGUUAUGUAGUGGCUAAAGAAUGAUUUACUUUUGAUGAUUUAUUGCCGCAUCUCUUUAUAAUAUAUUAGUUGCCUCUAUAUUUAAUGAAAACUCAUUAGAUGUUAAAGUAUUUGUUAGAACAUAAAACAAGUGAACAUUAACUCCUACAGUAGUGUUAUUUUUCGAGUCUUCUAGGCUAUUUCAUAUGUCUUUAAAAUGUUCCCUAAGUUCCAACAGUUGUAAGAUAUUCGAUCUGAUGAAUAAGAAAAGGAAAAUAGAGAUUUUAAUGCAUUUUAUUCCUAAAAGAAGUUCCUUCUUUCAACUGUGACCGUCUCUUCAAGUACUAUUGACAGAAAGGACAAGGUGAGACAAGUGACUAUAUUUGAUCUCAUGAUAAAUGAGAAGAACUAACAAUGAAAUUCAUUGUAGAUGGUGUAUUUUUUAAACAAAGAAUGUAGGUAAAGUGACAUACUGAUGAUAUGAAAACAUUUACUAAUUAAGUAUGACAAAAUGAGGAUAUUAAUUUUAACAUGAUCAAAAUGUAAGACACUAUAAAUGAGCAAAAUCAACUCCUAAUUUCCAAUUAGUAGGAAGAUUCCUUGAAAGAUAUUUCAAGGGUUUGGCGACUGCUUAAAAUACCCAAGUUAUAAUAUAUUAGGGGAAGAAGUACUUUCUCCUUACCUCCUACAACUCAAAGUUACUUUUCAGUAUACUUCAUAUUUUCUAUUUUUUAAGAAAUUAAAGUUCCUUUUAUUAUAAAGUUUCUACAGAAGAGAAUCAAGUAUAAAUUGUGUUCUCUGCUUUUUGAUUGUUAUGACAUUUUCAAUUUGAAUAAUUUCACAAGUAAGUUGCCAAAGAUAUUUACACAAAUGGAUCUGUGAUUGUGAUUUCUGUGAAAUGCAUUUGCACUAUUUAUUUAAUGAGACAUUUACCGAGUCUUCUUCAUAGUAGUAUUUGAUUUCAGUAAUGUGAACACAAUAUUAAGGAAUAUGAUAAGUUUAUACUGUUACCAAUUAAGGUUUGCUUAAUUUUGCGUCAGAUUCUUUGUCAAAAUCUUAGCCUGUGACAGCAAUGCAGGGAGGACUUUUGAAUGGAUGGAUUUUUCUUUGCAUCAACUAUUGAAGAUUUAUUUAGUUUUCACGUUCCUCUUUAUUUAACUGGAACUACAGUGAUUACAAAAUUCCUUUUUUAUAUGUUGUUAUGUAUUAUGUAAUGACAAUUAAAAUGUUUUUGAUACAAGUGUAGAUGAAUAAUGACACGGUAGACAAAUCAA
Molecule: long non-coding RNA, 5078 nt
Filed under: Solanum tuberosum (potato)
Lineage: Eukaryota; Viridiplantae; Streptophyta; Magnoliopsida; Solanales; Solanaceae
Description: long non-coding RNA (STUB_LNC006976)
Source: RNAcentral